Molecule: ribosomal RNA, 468 nt
Filed under: uncultured bacterium
Lineage: Bacteria
Description: partial 16S ribosomal RNA
Rfam family: Bacterial small subunit ribosomal RNA
Source: RNAcentral
GACGAACGCUGGCGGCGUGCUUAACACAUGCAAGUCGAACGGACAGGCCCGGCUUUUGUGGGGUGCUCGAGUGGCGCAGGGGUGAGUAACACGUGAGUAAACUGCCCUUGACUUUGGGAUAACUUCAGGAAACUGGGGCUAAUACCGGAUAGGAGCUCCUGCUGCAUGGUGGGGGUUGGAAAGUUUCGGCGGUGGGGGAUGGUCUGGCUGCUUAUCAGCUGGAUUGUGGGGUAGGGGCUUACCAAGUGUUAGACGGGUAGCCGGCCUGAGAGGGGGACCGGCGACAUGGGGACUGAGAGACGGCGCAGACUCGUACGGGAGGCAGCGGGGGGGAGUAUUGCGCAAUGGCGCGACGCCUGAGGCAGCAGCGCCGCGUGCGGGAUAACGUGCUAUGGGUUAUAAACCGCUUUCGCAUGAGACGAAGCGUGAGUGACGGUAAUGGGUAAAGAAGCACCGGCUAACUACGUG